This 74-nucleotide transfer RNA is filed under the name Omnitrophica bacterium RIFCSPHIGHO2_02_FULL_51_18. Its description in RNAcentral is "tRNA-Arg". It matches the Rfam family "tRNA". From Rfam's summary of the family: Transfer RNA (tRNA) molecules are approximately 80 nucleotides in length. Their secondary structure includes four short double-helical elements and three loops (D, anti-codon, and T loops). The record is from RNAcentral. Lineage: Bacteria; Pseudomonadati; Candidatus Omnitrophota.
GCCCCGGUAGCUCAGAUGGAUAGAGCACAAGUUUCCUAAACUUGGUGUCGCCGGUUCGACUCCGGCCCGGGGUA